AACGAACGCUGGCGGCGUGCCUAACACAUGCAAGUCGAGCGCGAAAGUUCCUUCGGGAAUGAGUAGAGCGGCGGACGGGUGAGUAAUACGUAGAUGACCUGCCCCGGAGAGGGGGAUAACUGUUGGAAACGACAGCUAAUACCCCAUAAGCUCACGGUUUUUAGAAAGCUGUGAGAAAGGUUCCGGCGCUCCGGGAGGGGUCUGCGGCCCAUCAGCUAGUUGGUAGGGUAACGGCUUACCAAGGCGAAGACGGGUAGGGGGCCUGAGAGGGUGGUCCUCCACACGGGAACUGAGACACGGUCCCGACUCCUACGGGAGGCAG
This 322-nucleotide ribosomal RNA is filed under the name uncultured Chloroflexota bacterium. RNAcentral describes it as "bacterial SSU rRNA". It matches the Rfam family "Bacterial small subunit ribosomal RNA", at positions 29 to 351 of the family's 1533-position model. Lineage: Bacteria; Bacillati; Chloroflexota. The record is from RNAcentral.